Molecule: unclassified non-coding RNA, 231 nt
Filed under: Hevea brasiliensis (rubber tree)
Lineage: Eukaryota; Viridiplantae; Streptophyta; Magnoliopsida; Malpighiales; Euphorbiaceae
Source: RNAcentral
GUUCGCCUCUUUUUGCUUCCAAAGGUUUUAUUUUUUUAUCAUCUAUAGGUUUGAUUUGGUUAUGUCCAACGUACAGCAUCAAAUGCUCUUGUGUAUAAAUGUGACUAAGUAAAUGGUAGGAGUGAGAAAGAAAAGGGGGAGACCUAAAAUGAUAUGAAGGGAAGUAGUAUUAAAAGAUCUACAAUUUGUAGACAUUGAUGCAAAAACCAAACAGAGUUGAAUGGUGAAAAA